CACAGAGGAAAAGAGUGCUGGAGAAAUGCCAGGGAGAUAGGUACCGAAACGUUCCAGAUGGAAAGUCUCGUCUUCAGGUGGCCGUAGCAGUAAAUGUCAGGGUCAAACAGGGGGUGUAUUCUUGGGAGAGCUUCAGCUCGUCUGUGACCUAGUGUCCAGCCAGCUUCCUGGGAAGGAGGCUGCAUCCUGACAUUGAAGCCCUGUGUGCUAGGAUGAGUGUGUUACGCAGAGCCUUACAAAUGAGAAAAUCUUGCGUCCUCAGGACAGGCAGUUAGUGUUGCUGUCUGGAAUACACUGGCUACCUCCCUCCUCCCCCCACCACUUAAAAUUCCCUGAAUCCGACAGUGGUAGGGAAAGGGCUGAUCCUGGAGAAGAUUGUUCCUUGAUAAUCCUAGUAUGAUUCAUAAUGGUUGCAGCAGAUGAGCCGCGAGGUUUGUGGCUCAGUCUGCAGCUAAGGAAGGCUCUUCCCUGGGGAGGUGUGUCCAGCUUCCCGGAAAGACCUCAGCUGUCUAGCUGGUCUGGGCUGCCCAGUUCUUAGCAGUGCAUCAGCAAUGAGCAGCCGCUGACCAUCAGGCAGCGUUUCCC
RNAcentral lists this long non-coding RNA (585 nucleotides) under Homo sapiens (human). Its description in RNAcentral is "HSALNT0143754". The record is from RNAcentral. Lineage: Eukaryota; Metazoa; Chordata; Mammalia; Primates; Hominidae.